RNAcentral lists this ribosomal RNA (245 nucleotides) under uncultured bacterium. RNAcentral's name for it is "partial 16S ribosomal RNA". It matches the Rfam family "Bacterial small subunit ribosomal RNA", at positions 524 to 769 of the family's 1533-position model. The record is from RNAcentral.
AACGUAGGAGGCGAGCGUUAUCCGGAUUUACUGGGUGUAAAGCGCACGCAGGCGGCUUCGUAAGUUGGAUGUGAAAGCUCUGGCUUAACUGGGAGAGGCCAUUCAAGACUGCGGGGCUUGAGGUUGGGAGAGGGGUGUGGAAUUCCUGGUGUAGUGGUGGAAUGCGUAGAGAUCGGGAGGAACACCAGUGGCGAAGGCGGCACCCUGGCCCACACCUGACGCUGAGGUGCGAAAGCGUGGGGAGC